AGUGCAUAUUUGUAUAAAUGUAGUUCUCAUUUAUCUUCUUUUAUUAUUUCAUAUAUUUACAUUGUAUUUUAACCUUAUUGAAGUGGAACAAGCUACCCAGGGAAGUAGCAGAGUCACCAUGCUUGGAGGUGUGUAAAAGAUGUGUAGGUGUGGUGCUUAGGGACAUGGUUUAGUGAUGGCCUGGCCAGGUUAGGCUAAUGAUUGGACUUGAUGAUCUAAAGGUCUUUUUCCAACCUGAACAAUUCUAUGAAAUUGGAGGGAGUUUGCUUCUUAUCAUAUAAGAUCUUCAACACAAUAAUAUAUGGUAGUAAUUUAAUAUUUUAUCUAAUAAGCAAAUGCAAAACAAGUUCUACUGUUCUGGAUGAUUAAAUCUUGAGAUCCUUUCUAGCAUUUACUAAAAAGUGAUAACAGUAUUUUUUGAUGUGAAAUAGCUAGAAGUGUGGAGAUUUUGUGUAAAAUGAUGCAAGGCAAGUGUUCACUUAAAUAAUUAAUACUUGUAUUUAUUUUUUGUGUAUGUAUGCUUUUAUAUUAAAAAUAAACUAUCCAUUGUUAUCCAUUGAUUCCAACAGGAAUCUAUGGCUCCUGUUUCUUUGCUGUUAUCAUUUGCUUUCUUAAUUCACCAAAGAAAAAGGUGACUGCUAUAAUGCACUCAAUGUCCCCAAAGUUUAAGAGUGGAAAGGGGCAACACACGAAAGAAUCAGUUGCACAGGUCAUACCUUUUUUGUAGAGGCAGAGAACACCAAGAUAUCUCACAAAGCACAUUUUCAGUCAUUCAAAAUAAAACUCUGAAUGCAAUCUGGCAUGAAGGAGAGUUGAAAAUAUGUACCCAGGUGAACUUAUAGCAAAAUUAUUGUUUGUUCUAUGUUGGCUACAUAAAAGAUGUAGAGCAAAUAAAGCCUCAAGGAUCUUGCUUUCUGUGUCAGUAUAAUUGUUAUUACAGGAGGGUAUUUUAUGGCAUGAAACAGGAGUUUGAUCAGCCUGAAGAAGAGAAGUCUUCAGGACACCUAAUAGCAGCUUUCUAAUGCAUAGGAGGAGGUCAUCCAGAAAAAUGAAUCUGAGCUAUUGGAAGUACAUGAUGCGAGUAUGCAAAAGCAGAAAUGAAAGAAGUUCCUGCUGGAUAUGAGGAGAAACCUCUUCACUGUGAGGACAGUCCAGCAGCAGAGCAGGUUGUCUGGAAAGUUUGUAGCCUCCCUUCUUGGAGGCUUUCAAGACCUGAUUUGCUGUAGCUAUGUUACUGUUUUGGUAGUAUACCAUACCAGUAUUCCUACACUGGUAAAGUAUUUCUGUUGUAGUUGCUUAAUUUGCUCCCUCUGUUACCUGGUUUCAUCAAUUGUUUAUUUUCAGUUUAUUUGUUAUACUAGGUAUCAGUUCAACUUUAUCAUGUUUGAGCAUCGUCUCCGCUUGCAUUGAGACUCUAAUCUUAUUGGUCAUCAAGCAGGUCUGGAAAAAUGUUAAUUAACCCUUAGGUGGCUGACUAGGUCACUAGUGGUCUGUCUGGACAUUCCAGAUCAGGAACUCUGCCAGCCAGUGCAGGAGAGGAAAAUAGGGAAUCACACAAUGAGAGCUGGAAGGGUGGAAAGGGAUGGUAAAGCAAAACAGAAGGAAGACCCUUAACCCUACUACUAC
Molecule: long non-coding RNA, 1626 nt
Organism: Pezoporus flaviventris
Lineage: Eukaryota; Metazoa; Chordata; Aves; Psittaciformes; Psittacidae
Exons: 2
Source: RefSeq, a predicted model, not a curated record